Oryza sativa Japonica Group (Japanese rice) is the source of this 208-nucleotide microRNA precursor. It matches the Rfam family "MIR812 microRNA precursor family". The record is from Rfam. NCBI's taxonomy places the organism in Eukaryota, Viridiplantae, Streptophyta, Magnoliopsida, Poales, Poaceae.
AAUAAGUGCAAUUUUACACUAUUCAUAUCCAACGUUUCACCGUUCGUCUUAUUUGAAUUUUUUUUAUGAUUACUAUUUUUAUUGUUAUUAGAUGAUAAAACAUGAAUAGAACUUUAUGUGUGACUAUUUUUUUAAAAAAAAUUCAUAAAAUUUUCAAAUAAAACGGACGGUCAAACGUUGGACACGGAUUUCUACGGCUGUAUUUAUU